This 482-nucleotide ribosomal RNA is filed under the name uncultured bacterium. RNAcentral describes it as "partial 16S ribosomal RNA". It matches the Rfam family "Bacterial small subunit ribosomal RNA", at positions 30 to 507 of the family's 1533-position model. The record is from RNAcentral.
AUUGAACGCUGGCGGCAUGCUUUACACAUGCAAGUCGAACGGUAACAGGCCGCAAGGUGCUGACGAGUGGCGAACGGGUGAGUAAUGCAUCGGAACGUGCCCAGUCGUGGGGGAUAACUACUCGAAAGAGUAGCUAAUACCGCAUACGAUCUAUGGAUGAAAGCGGGGGACCGUAAGGCCUCGCGCGGUUGGAGCGGCCGAUGUCAGAUUAGGUAGUUGGUGGGGUAAAGGCUCACCAAGCCAACGAUCUGUAGCUGGUCUGAGAGGACGACCAGCCACACUGGGACUGAGACACGGCCCAGACGCCUACGGGAGGCAGCAGUGGGGAAUUGUGGACAAUGGGCGCAAGCCUGAUCCAGCAAUGCCGCGUGCAGGAAGAAGGCCUUCGGGUUGUAAACUGCUUUUGUACGGAACGAAACGGCUCUGGUUAAUACCCGGGGCUAAUGACGGUACCGUAAGAAUAAGCACCGGCUAACUACGUG